GACGAACGCUGGCGGCGUGCUUAACACAUGCAAGUCGAACGGACAGGCCCUGCUUUUGUGGGGUGCUCGAGUGGCGCACGGGUGAGUAACACGUGAGUAACCUGCCCUUGACUUUGGGAUAACUUCAGGAAACUGGGGCUCAUACCGCAUAUGAGCUCCUGCUGCAUGGUGGGCGUUGGAAAGUUUCGGCGGUUGGAGAUGGACUCGCGGCUUAUCAGCUGUUUGGUGGGGUAGUGGUUUACCAAGGCUUUGACGGGUAGCCGACCUGAGAGGGUGGCCGGGCACAUGGGGACUGAGGUACGCCGCAGAAGCGUACGGGAGGCAGCAGGGGAGAAUAUUACACAGCGGGGGGAAGCCUGAUGCAGCAACGCCGGGUGCGGGAUGACGGCCUUCGGGUUGUAAACCGCUUUCGCCUGUGACGAAGCGUGAGUGACGGUAAUGGGUAAAGAAGCACCGGCUAACUACGUG
This 468-nucleotide ribosomal RNA is filed under the name uncultured bacterium. RNAcentral's name for it is "partial 16S ribosomal RNA". It matches the Rfam family "Bacterial small subunit ribosomal RNA", at positions 28 to 507 of the family's 1533-position model. The record is from RNAcentral.